Non-coding RNA from Tachysurus vachellii, 1271 nucleotides. NCBI's taxonomy places the organism in Eukaryota, Metazoa, Chordata, Actinopteri, Siluriformes, Bagridae. The record is from the annotation of a RefSeq genome assembly.
GAGAAAAGGAGUGAAGAGCUGAUGAAAAUGUUCUCACUGGGCAUGCUGGUGUUGCUGCUUCUGGGCACUUGUGAGGCUUCGGCUGUACAAUUGCUCCAGGAAAACUCCUCAGUGAUGGCUAUUGCUGGGAGUGCCGUUUCCUUUCACUGUGCUAUAGAGGCAAAGUUUAGCAUGAGCAGCUACACUAUGCAGUGGUACAAGCAAAUGUAUUACGGUGCACCAUUUGAGUUCCUGAUGAUGGAGUAUGAACAGGCCACAAAGAAAAUGAACGUUGUCCUAAAGAAAGCUGAGAAUAAGUUCAGCUUGAACAUUUCGCCGUUGACGCUGCAGGACAGUGCCAUUUAUUACUGUGCUGCCAGACACACCGGUCAACAAGCUUACUUCGGUGGAGGAACCAAGUUAACAGUUCUUGACAAAAACAUUCAAAUCACAGAGCCAGCUGUCAAGGUGCUAGAUGUUUCAGAGAAUGAAGUGUGUACAAAGACAAACGUCACACUGGUUUGUGUGGCUGAAAAAUUUUAUCCUGACCAUGUGUCUGUGUCCUGGUCUGUUGAUGGAGAUAAACGUACCACUGAUGUGAGCACAGACGAAGCUGCCAUCCAAAAUGAUGAAACAAAAUUCUACAGCAUCUCCAGCAGACUGAACAUCAAUUACAAAGAUGAGUGGACUAAAGGCAAAACGUUCACCUGUACUGUCAGUUUCUUCAAUGAGAAAAACUACACAGAACACAGUGACUCCUUAACAGGACCAAAACUUGGUGGUGAGGAAUUAGUCGAAAAAUAUAUUAAAUCAGCGAAUGUAACUAUGCUGGCCUAUGGCAUGUUCAUUGGCAAGAGCAUUGCAUACGGCUUAUUCAUCCUGUACGUCAUCAAGAGACAGGGUUUUAUUUCAAAGUAAAGGCAAUGUGACUGAUGUGGGCAUGAUGGAGAACUGCAAUGUGGUCACAUGACAGAGGAGGACUUUUACACCGUUUAUACCAAUAAUCUAACAGUUAGUUCAGAUAUAAGCUCUGUGUUUAAAGAUUUUCGCUUUGCUAAUUCUGCAAUACAUUCAAUUUAUUUUUCUUUUCUUCUGCUUGGUUUGAUUAAAUUUAUACAUAUUUGAAUAGAUUUUUAUUAUAAACAUUUUUACUCUGCAUUUAUUCUUUCACUUGAUGUAUAAAACAAGAAUUUCUUAUGACUGUCUACAUUAUUCAGGCUUGCUUGAAAUGUUUCAUAAUGAUGAUUUCUGUAUCAUAAAAUGUAUUAAAAUAAAACAUGUGAUUAUGACUA